CCGGAUUGACUCUGCCUCGGUACAUUCCCCUGCUGCCAGGGAGAGAAGAAGCGGAGCUCACCAUGGGCUCCGAGAGUGGAGCUGCUCCGUGGCGCCUUCUCCUCGCCCUGGCUUUGCUCUUCUCCUGCUGCGAAGCCCAAGUGGUUCAGAGCCCCGAGUCGCUGGUUACUGGGGAAGGGAAGGUCUCCACCAUGUCCUGCUCUUUCACCAGCACUUACCGAACCUUCUACUGGUACCAGCAGCUGCCUGGGCAAGGGCCGACCCACCUGCUGACCGCGAGCUCUAAUCAGAAUGUCUCUGUGGGGCGGUUCAUAGGCGAGCGCCUGGAAAGUGGGAAACGCAGCUCCCUGCACAUCACCGACUCCCAGCUGGGGGACUCAGGCAGCUACCUCUGUGCGGUGGAUGCACAGUGACAUAGGCAGAGCUGGGCUCAGGGCAA
Non-coding RNA from Mauremys mutica (yellowpond turtle), 439 nucleotides. Lineage: Eukaryota; Metazoa; Chordata; Testudines; Geoemydidae. The record is from the annotation of a RefSeq genome assembly.